This 482-nucleotide ribosomal RNA is filed under the name uncultured bacterium. RNAcentral's name for it is "partial 16S ribosomal RNA". It matches the Rfam family "Bacterial small subunit ribosomal RNA", at positions 30 to 507 of the family's 1533-position model. The record is from RNAcentral.
AUUGAACGCUGGCGGCAUGCCUUACACAUGCAAGUCGAACGGUAACGGGCCUUCGGGUGCCGACGAGUGGCGAACGGGUGAGUAAUACAUCGGAACGUGCCCGAUCGUGGGGGAUAACGAGGCGAAAGCUUUGCUAAUACCGCAUACGAUCUACGGAUGAAAGCAGGGGACCGCAGGGCCUUGCGCGGACGGAGCGGCCGAUGGCAGAUUAGGUAGUUGGUGGGAUAAAAGCUUACCAAGCUGACGAUCUGUAGCUGGUCUGAGAGGAUGAUCAGCCACACUGGGACUGAGACACGGCCCAGACUCCUACGGGAGGCAGCAGUGGGGAAUUUUGGACAAUGGGCGCAAGCCUGAUCCAGCCAUGCCGCGUGCAGGAGGAAGGCCUUCGGGUUGUAAACUGCUUUUGUACGGAACGAAAAGCCUUCUUUUAAAACAGGAGGGUCAUGACGGUACCGUAAGAAUAAGCACCGGCUAACUACGUG